UGGGGAAUAUUGCACAAUGGGCGCAAGCCUGAUGCAGCCAUGCCGCGUGUAUGAAGAAGGCCUUCGGGUUGUAAAGUACUUUCAGCGGGGAGGAAGGGAGUAAAGUUAAUACCUUUGCCCAUUGACGUUACCCGCAGAAGAAGCACCGGCUAACUCCGUGCCAGCAGCCGCGGUAAUACGGAGGGUGCAAGCGUUAAUCGGAAUUACUGGGCGUAAAGCGCACGCAGGCGGUUGAUUGAGUCAGAUGUGAAAUCCCCGGGCUUAACCCGGGAAUUGCAUCUGAUACUGGUCAGCUAGAGUCUUGUAGAGGGGGGUAGAAUUCCAUGUGUAGCGGUGAAAUGCGUAGAGAUGUGGAGGAAUACCGGUGGCGAAGGCGGCCCCCGGGACAAAGACUGACGCUCAGGUGCGAAAGCGUGGGGAGCAAACAGG
Molecule: ribosomal RNA, 429 nt
Filed under: Chloroflexota bacterium
Lineage: Bacteria; Bacillati; Chloroflexota
Description: Chloroflexi bacterium partial 16S ribosomal RNA
Rfam family: Bacterial small subunit ribosomal RNA
Source: RNAcentral